GAUGAACGCUGGCGGCGUGCCUAGUACAUGCAAGUCGAGCGAACGGACGAGAAGCUUGCUUCUCUGAUGUUAGCGGCGGACGGGUGAGUAACACGUGGAUAACCUACCUAUAAGACUGGGAUAACUUCGGGAAACCGGAGCUAAUACCGGAUAAUAUUUUGAACCGCAUGCUUCAAAAGUGAAAGACGGUCUUGCUGUCACUUAUAGAUGGAUCCGCGCUGCAUUAGCUAGUUGGUAAGGUAACGGCUUACCAAGGCAACGAUGCAUAGCCGACCUGAGAGGGUGAUCGGCCACACUGGAACUGAGACACGGUCCAGACUCCUACGGGAGGCAGCAGUAGGGAAUCUUCCGCAAUGGGCGAAAGCCUGACGGAGCAACGCCGCGUGAGUGAUGAAGGUCUUCGGAUCGUAAAACUCUGUUAUUAGGGAAGAACAUAUGUGUAAGUAACUGUGCACAUCUUGACGGUACCUAAUCAGAAAGCCACGGCUAACUACGUG
This 497-nucleotide ribosomal RNA is filed under the name uncultured bacterium. RNAcentral describes it as "partial 16S ribosomal RNA". It matches the Rfam family "Bacterial small subunit ribosomal RNA", at positions 28 to 507 of the family's 1533-position model. The record is from RNAcentral.